GAACCGACUGGCAAUCGUAGCUCUCAAAAGCUUCUGUCGAACUCUAACCCUGUAGAUGAACUCUAACCUUUGUCAAUGACUUGUCCAUUAGAUAAGGGAUCAUAUAUUCCUCCAUUCUAGAUAUCAUAUGGACUGAGACAUGGAUUAUAAUCAUUCUCUCUGUCCAUUUGUUGUUUCUUGGUUUCCGAUUUAUGAUGACUGACUAAUUGAACUAAUCAAAUCAGUCCUGGCCCGACCGAGCACUUCCAUUUGUCAUCAUCAAAUCAUCGAGGGGCCCACAGAUAUCGCUUUUAUCCCGAAGGUAAAAGGAAUGGAUAAACUUCGACUCAUAUGGCUUGUUCUACUACUUGUUGAAUCAUACACAAAGGCACGUUUUAUAGCACCGAGUUACCAAAUGCGUUUUCGUGCAAUCAAUGUACUAUCAACUCAUAGUAACAACUCAUAUCUCUAGGUUUGAAGAAUAUAAGAUAUUAUCGUCUCAUGAUCACUCGUGAUAAAAUCCAUGAAGUGAUUCCAAUGAGCGCGGGUUGAAUCCAAUACUCAGAACUUAUGAGCACUCAUGAGUGUUGUAGCCCUUUGUCCAACACCUUAGACCUCUACAAGCCAACCCAUGACAGUCUUAAUUCAUAUCUACUUCCAACAUAUGACCGACUGUGGAUGGUUUGAAUAACUUAGUCAUUCCGGAAGAAUAACCCAGUUUAUUCAGGAAGUCAAAACAUGCAAAGUGAAACACAAUAAUAAUUGAAUCCAAUAUGGUAUCAAAACCUAUGAACAUAAAUAAAACACCUUUUAUUUAUCACCAUAUGAUUACACAUUAUUCAUUGUAUAUUGUGUCAGCUAUCAACUUUAUUCUUGAAUUUAAAACAAUAGUUGUCCCAUGCUCCAAGCACGUACACUAUGUUUUCUAAACACUAGUCAUGCCAUCCACCAAGUAUGCAUACUAUGUUUUUCUAUGAUAUUUACUUUUUAAAAUAGAUCAAUUGAACAUAACUCCAAUAAUCCUCUCUUCACAUUUCCAAAACCUUACUGCAAAUGCAAGAAUUCCAAAUUCAUGCCAUUUACUGAAAUCUGUUAGAUUCUAAACUUAUAUGCAUUGAUCCUCUUGUAAUGAUUAUGCACAAAGUCACAAAGACUUGACAACAACCAUUACAGAGCAUUCCGAAAGAGAUCAGCUCCUUGGAAACAUCCUUCUUGCAUUAAGUUUCCAAAUAUUACAUAGAUUGAAUAAUUUCUAACUUUGAAACAUUUCCAGAUUCCAUUUUGACUAUCACUUCUGAACAAGAGUUGCCUCCUUAUAGAUGAUGUCAAUAUGGUCCUUCUAGAAUUAUCACUAUACUUCCAACUGUCCUUGAGCAACAAAUCUUUGGUAAACCUUAGAUUGUCCUCGACAAUUGUUUAAUCCUUUUAGUCAUAUCAAAUUCGAGACCUUUUCCCUUCUUAAUGCCCCAAGGAUUUGGAAAAUUUUAGAAAGGAUGAAUAUAGCACAUGUAAUCGAUCCUAUAUCUGAAGCAUAUGGGACACGAUUCAUGAUGUCUCAGAUAAAGCCUAAACUAGUCUUUUGCUAUAAUAUUUCCAUUUCAAUUUGCCAAGUUCUCAUAAUUCAGAUUAGAAAAAGGGAUGUCGUAAUCAUAAUUGAAUUUUAAAAACGCAAAUAAUGGAUCCAUAUAUAGAAUUUUUCUUAUGUUGAGCCAUUCCAACAUGAAAUUCCUAUAUAUGUCCUUGACUAAAUAUGAUUAAAACCUCAACCUAAGCUUUUAGAUUUCAAAUGAAGUAUAAUUUCCUCUCCCUUAGUUAUAGGAAAACAACUUUUUCCCAAUUGAAACUUUUGUUUUCUAUAAUUAACAUUGCUAACUUGCAAUACUUAUCAUAAUUAUCAUGCUCCCACUAACAUGAUGAUUAUUAGCAUAACACUUAUGCUCCCACUAGCUUUGACAUGUACUCAGAAAUCAGCUGGACUUCUAGGAAUCAAUACUUUAUUGACUUUCUUACCAAAGUUCAGAUUUCUGAUACUAGAUUGCUUUGAUAAAAUUUUAUCGUUAUAAAGUUCCCUAGGAACUAGGCUGGACAUGAGUAUAGCCUACCAUCCACAUACCGACGAGCAAAGUGAGAGAAUUAUCCAAACCUUGGAAGAUAUGUUGCGAGCAUGUGUGGUCAACUUUGGGAAAGCAUGGGAUACUCAUUUACCCCUUGUCGAAUUUUCCUACAACAACAAUUAUCACAUGAGCAUAAAGGCUGCUCCAUUCGAGGCCCUCUAUGGUCGAAAGUGCAGAUCCCUUCUAUGUUGGGCUGAGGUGGGUGAUACCCAGAGUUAGCUAAAGGAUGAGUUCCUAACAGCACUCUCACAGGUCCGGAGAUCAUAUGGGAAACGACGGAGAAAGUCGUUCAGAUGCGUGAGCGAUUGAAACCCUCUAGAGACCGACAUAAAAGCUACACUGAUAAACGUACGAAACCGUUGCAAUUCUAGGUGGUGACCGUCUUCUAUUGAAGGUCUCACCCUGGAAGGUCUGUCCGACGAGACUCUUGUAAUCCCCCUCGACGAGAUCGAGAUCAACGAGAGCCUCAACUUCGUGUAAGAACCAGUGGAGAUCAUGGACCAGGUUCCCUAGAAAGCAAACGAAACAAAGCCGUAUCCCGAUAGUGAAGGUUUGCUGGAACGCCAAGCGAGGACCUGAAUUCACUUGGGAGUGUGAGAAUCAGAUGAAACUGAAAUAUACUCGUCUUUUUACUUAGUUAUUUGUAACUACUUAUUUGCUUAAACUCUAAUUUCGGGACGAAAUUCCUUCUAAGGAGGGGAUGAUGUGACAACCUGAAAUUUCUAUUCUUUACGACAUUUCCAUUCAAUAGAAGUCAGAACAGUACUAUUAAUUUUCAGACUUUUUAGAAGAAGUUUGAGUAUUUUAGGAUUAACAAUUUACGAGAGAUCAGGAGAGAGGAUGCCCUAGACUUUAUUGUGCAACAAUAAAGUCCCGACACAUCAAAAUAUAGGAGUUUACGGCCUAAACAAUGGUGUUUACGGCCGUAAACUCCAAGGAAUGGGGUAUAUAAGUGACACUUAGUCAUUUAUAUCAUUUUCCACCUUUUCAAGAACAAACCUCAAACUCUCUCAAGUAUCAUCAAAGUUUUCNAUCAAAGUUUCUUCAAGAUCUUCAAUCUAGUAAGUGUUUCUAGCCCUUUCUAGUUAGUAUAUCACCUAAUCUAGUGUUUUAACACACGUCCAUCCGUGAAAAUGUUCCAAAAGGUUGUUCUUCAAGUUUCACCAAGAACACACACUAGUGUUCUUGGACUUUUGGCUCAUUUCAAGCUUCUAUAUUGUAAGUACUUCUGUCCUAGAGUAUCAUAGAGCUUAUUAUACUUCCAUAUAUCAAGAAAACACAAAGAAACACUAAGAUCAAAGUUGUUUACGGUCCAUGAACUCCGUGAACCGUAAACCCUUCUUAAGGGGAAAAAGUGACCCUAGUCCCUUCCUUCCCUUGGGAAACUAGUCUAGACACAUUCCUUAAUGUGUAUAGGACUUGAAAACAUCAAAAUACCAUGAUCCAUGAGGGUUUACGACCGUAAACCCUAAGGAAAAUGGUCUUAGGGUCGUAAACUCCUCAAAGGAGGGAAAUGGUGCCCUAACUUCUUCCUUAGGCUUAUACAUCAAGUAGAAAUGCUUCUAGGCAAUUAUAAACCUUCAAAUCAAGAAAUGGACAAAGGAGUAUGAGCUUACGAACGUAAACUCAUGGGUUUACGACCGUAAACUCAAUGAGUUGAGGUCACAAUACCGUAAACACAAGAAAGGGGUUCUUUUGAACCCUAAACCCAAUAGCUUUGUCCUACAACACUUAGAUGCAAUCCUGGGACUUAUAACACUUAUAUAAAGUGUUUAACUUGUCUUAGGAUGUUAUAACUUUGUAAAUUAGUUGUUUAAAGACUAAUUGGAUACAUAUAUGUGCGUUUAUAUGUUAACUAGGAUCAUUGUGUGUGUAUAAGUCUUCACUUGACACCUAACAAUCCUAUAUCUUCAGUUCAUCCAAAUCGCUCACUACAGGUGAGUUCAUACCCCUUAAAUUGACCUUUUAAUGUUUUUAAAUUCUUUUAUGGGGGGAUACAAGUUGAAUACUUAUAGUUAUUAUAUCAAUCACAUGUGAUUAAUAGCUACCAAACAAGUGGUUUUCUUACUUUUCAAACUGUGUUAUCAAACUGUUUUGCUUCAAACUAUUUUACAAACUCCUCUGUUGUCAAAUAAUUUAACUUCAACUCUUUUCAUACUUUUAUAUUUUCAAACACAUGCCUUUGUAUGUAUAGUUAUAUAAGUAAUUUUUAAAGGAUUUAGGAUGGCUAGCUCGCAUUAUCUCCUUUUCCUUGUUAAGAUGUGGCGUUAGGGCAUCGGGUAUCCGUCCGAAGGUCGUCUAAAUAUUAGUUAUAUAUUAUGUAUACAUAUAUAGACAUAAAAGUUCCACCAUCCAAUUCAAUACUCUUGAGUAGCAAGGGUAUACAUUGAUGAUCAUUAUGUACAAGUCAUAUUACUAGUAAACUACGAUAGGCAUAGUUUAGGAAGAUACUAAUGCUAUUACAAGAACGAAGAAUCAUACAAUUAGUCGGUUCAUUCAUGAGUUAAUACUUGCUAGAUAGAGAGAGAGCACAAUACAGCUAGUACACACAGUAAAUUACUAUACAUGCUAGAUAGAGAAAUAACACACAUUACAGCUAGUACACGCAGAACUUGACAAUACAUACAGGCUAGACAGAGAAAGAACACACAAUACAGCUAGGACAUACAUUACAUAUACAUUCAUGCAGUUAUUGUUGGUUUUUGAGCACUCUAACACUCCUAAGUGUACAUGCAACCCUAAAUACCUUGGAUCUAUGUUUUCUCUAUUAUACAUGCAAAUAUGAACUUUCGAAGGUAUUCAUCCUAACUAGCAUAAUAAUAUGAUUCAUAUGAAUAUAUAUCAAUUUACAAUUACAUACCUCUUUAAUGUAGAAAGUAUUCAUGAAGCUUGACUUCCUAGUACCCCAAGUGUGACACCUCAAAUGGUUCACACAACACCAGAUACACUUGGAAUAACUUGAGAGAAACUUGUACACUCCUUGAAAUCGUCUAGCCCUCACACUCACACAUAGUGCACGAGUUAUUGAACCAUGGUAUUCUUUUAUAUGGUGGUUGUUAGGGUUACACCAUGUAACUCAUGACUUUACCUAUUCCUUAUGCUCCAUGGAUUUUAACCUCCAUGGAGUAUCCAUGGGUCACCCCAUGCACUUAGUCCAACACAAGGAAUCUUGGAUCACAAGCCCACAUAUAUAAUAAUGAAUGAUUUACACAAUCAACCCAUAUAUUUAAUUACUCUCCUUUUGAUCACUUAAUUAAUUCCAAAUUAAUUCUUGAUCAAUACCAAUUAAAUAACCUUAUUAAUAUAUUAGAACUUAUAAUAUAUUAACAAACCUUAAGUGUUAUUUCUCUCAUUUUAGUCUAUCCAAAUGCAUGAUGCCAUGCAACCCAAAUGGACCAUGUCGGGUCGGGUCAAGUCUUACCAAUUAUAGUUAUGGACAUAGACAUUAAUCCAACAGUCUCCCACUUGGAUAAGUCUAAAACUAUUACUGCGUAUGACUUCAAGAACCGACUGGCAAUCGUAGCUCUCAAAAGCUUCUGUCGAACUCUGACCUUGUAGAUGAACUCUGACCUUUGUCAAUGACUUGUCCAUUAGAUAAGGGAUCAUAUAUUCCUCCAUUCUAGAUAUCAUAUGGACUGAGACAUGGAUUAUAAUCAUUCUCUCUGUCCAUUUGUUGUUUCCCGAUUUCCGAUUUAUGACGACUGACUAAUUGAACAAAUCAAAUCAGUCCUGGCCCGGCCGAGCACUUCCAUUUGUCAUCAUCAAAUCAUCGAGGGGCCCACAGAUAUCGCUUUUAUCCCGAAGGUAAAAGGAACGGAUAAACUUCGACUCAUAUGGCUUGUUCUACUACUUGUUGAAUCAUACACAAAGGCACGUUUUAUAGCACCGAGUUACCAAAUGCGUUUUCGUGCAAUCAAUGUACAACCAACUCAUAGUAACAACUCAUAUCUCUAGGUUUGAAGAAUAUAAGAUAUUAUCGUCUCAUGAUCACUCGUGAUAAAAUCCAUGAAGUGAUUCCAAUGAGCGCGGGUUGAAUCCAAUACUCAGAACUUAUGAGCACUCAUGAGUGUUGUAGCCCUUUGUCCAACACCUUAGACCUCUACAAGCCAACCCAUGACAGUCUUAAUUCAUAUCUACUUCCAACAUAUGACCGACUGUGGAUGGUUUGAAUAACUUAGUCAUCCAGAACAAUGACCUAGUUAUGAAGGAAGUCAAAACACGCAAAGUGACACAAAAUAAUAAUUGAAUCCAAUAAGGUAUCAAAACCUAUGAACAUAAAUAAAACACCUUUUAUUUAUCACCAUAUGAUUACACAUUAUUCAUUGUAUAUUGUUUCAGCUAUCAACUUUAUUCUUGAAUUUAAAACAAUAGUUGUCCCAUGCUCCAAGCAUGUACACUAUGUUUUCUUAACACUAGUCAUGCCAUACACCAAGUAUGCAUACUAUGUUUGUCUAUGAUCUUUACUUUGUGAACUAGAUCAAUUGAACAUAACUUCAAUGAUUCUCUUUUCACACUCCCAAAUCCUUACUGCAAAUGCAAGAAUUCCAAAUUCAUGCCAUUUACUGAAAUCUGUUAGAUUCUAAACUUAUAUGGAUUGAUCCUCUUGUAAUGAUUAUCCACAAAGUCGCAAAGACUUGACAACAACCAUUACAGAGCAUUCCAAAAGAGAUCAGCUCCUUGGAAACAUCCUUCUUCCAUUAAGUUUCCAAAUAUUACACAGAUUGAAUAAUUUCUAACUUUGAAGCAUUUCCAGAUUCCAUUUUGACUAUCACUUCUGAACAAGAGUUGCCUCCUUACAGAUUAUGUCAAUAUGGUCCUUCUAGAAUUAUCACUAUACUUCCAACUGUCCUUGAGCAACAAAUCUUUGGUAAACCUUAAAUUGUCCUCAACAAUUGUUUAAUCCUGAUAAACGUAGGAAACCAUUGGAGUUCUAGGUGGUGACCGUCUUCUAUUGAAGGUCUCACCCUGGAAGGUCUGUCCGACGAGACUCUUGUAAUCCCCCUCGACGAGAUCGAGAUCAACGAGAGCCUCAACUACGUGUAAGAACCAGUGGAGAUCAUGGACUAGGUUCCCUGGAAAGCAAACAAAACAAAGUCGUAUCCCGAUAAUGAAGGUUCGCUGGAACGCCAAGGGAGGACCUGAAUUCACUUGGGAUCGUGAGAAUCAGAUGAAACUGAAAUAUCCUCGUCUUUUUACUUAGUUAUUUGUAACUACUUAUUUGCUUUAACUCUAAUUUCGGGACGAAAUUCCUUCUAAGGAGGGGAUGAUGUGACAACCCGAAAUUUCUAUUCUUUACGACAUUUCCAUUCAAUAGAAGUCAGAACAGUAUUGUUAGUUUUUAGACUUUUUAGAAUAAGUUUGAGUAUUUUAGGAUUAACAAUUUAGGAGAUAUCAGGAGAGAGGAUGCCCUAGACUUUAUUGUGCAACAAUAAAGUCCCGACACAUCAAAAUAUAGGAGUUUACGGCCUAACCAAUGGUGUUUACGGCCGUAAACCCCAAGGAAUGGGGUAUAUAAGUGAAACUUAGUCAUUUAUAUCAUUUUUCCACCUUUUCAAGAACAAACCUCAAACUCUCUCAAGUAUCAUCAAAGUUUUCUUCAAGAUCUUCAAUCUAGUAAGUGUUUCUAGCCCUUUCAAGUUAUUAUAUCACCUAAUCAAGUGUUUUAACACACAUCCAUCCAUGAAAAUGUUCCAAAAGGUUGUUCUUCAAGUUUCACCAAGAACACACACUAGUGUUCUUGGACUUUUGGCUCAUUUCAAGCUUCUAUAUUGUAAGUACUUCUGUCCUAGAGUAUCAUAGAGCUUAUUAUACUUCCAUAUAUCAAGAAAACACAAAGAAACACUAAGAUCAAAGUUGUUUAUGGUCCAUCAACUCUGUGAACCGUAAACCCUUCUUAAGGGGCAAAAGUGACCCUAGUCCUUUCCUUCCCUUGGGAAACUAGUCUAGACACAUUCCUUAAUGCGUAUAGGACUUGAAAACAUCAAAAUACCAUGAUCCAUGAGGGUUUACGACCGUAAACCCUAAGGAAAAUGGUCUUACGGCCGUAAACUCCUCAAAGGAGGGAAAUGGUGCCCUAACUUCUUCCUUAGGCUUAUACAUCAAGUAGAAAUGCUUCUAGGCAAUUAUAAACCUUCAAAUCAAGAAAUGGAUAAAGGAGUAUGAGCUUACGACCGUAAACUCAUGGGUUUACGACCGUAAACUCAAUGAGUUGAGGUCACCAAAGCGUAAGCACAAGAAAGGGGUUCUUUUGAACCCUAAACCCAAUAGCUUUGUCCUACAACACUUAGAUGCAAUCCUUGGGACUUAUAACACUUAUAUAAAGUGUUUAACAUGUCUUAGGAUGUUAUAACUUUGUAAAUUAUUUGUUUAAAGACUAAUUGGAUACAUAUAUGUGUGUUUAUAUGUUAACUAGGAUCAUUGUGUGUGUACAAGUCUUCACUUGACACCUAGCAAUCCUAUAUCUUCAGUUCAUCCAAAUCGCUCACUACAGGUGAGUUCAUACCCCUUAAAUUGACAUUUUAAUGUUUUUAAAUGCUUUUAUGGGGGGGAUACAAGUUGAAUACUUAUAGUUAUUAUAUCAAUCACAUGUGAUCAAUAGCUACCAAACAAGUGGUUUUCUUACUUUUCAAACUGUGUUAUCAAACAGUUUUGCUUCAAACUAUUUUACAAACUCUUCUGUUGUCAAAUAAUUUAACUUAAACUCUUUUCAUACUUUUAUAUUUUCAAACGCAUGCCUUUGUAUGUAUAGUUAUAUAAGUAAUUUUUAAAGGAUUUAGGAUGGCUAGCUCGCAUUAUCUCCUUUUCCUUGUUAAGAUGUGGCGUUAGGGCAUCGGGUAUCCGUCCGAAGGUCGUCUAAAUAUUAGUUAUAUAUUAUGUAUACAUAUAUAGACAUAAAAGUUCCACCAGCCAAUUCAAUACUCUUGAGUAGCAAGGGUAUACAUUCAUGAUCAUUACGUUCAAGUCAUAUUACUAGUAAACUACGAUAGGCAUAGUUUAGGAAGAUACUAAUACUAUUACAAGAACGAAGAAUCAUACAAUUAGUCGGUUCAUUCAUGAGUCAAUACUUGUUAGAUAGAGAGAGAGCACAAUACAACUAGUACACACAGUAAAUUACUAUACAUGCUAGAUAGAGAAAGAACACACAUUACAGCUAGUACACGCAGAACUUGAUAAUACAUACAGGCUAGACAGAGAAAGAACACACAAUACAGCUAGGACAUACAUUACAUAUACAUUCAUGCAGUUAUUGUUGGGUUUUGAGCACUCUAACACUCCUAAGUGUACAUGCAACCCUAAAUACCUUGGACCUAUGUUUACUCUAUUAUACAUGCAAAUAUGGACUUUCGAAGGUAUUCAUCCUAACUAGCAUAAUAAUAUGAUUCAUAUGAAUAUAUAUCAAGUUAUAAUUACAUAGCUCUUUAAUGUAGAAAGUAUUCAUGAAGCUUGAGUGCCUAGUACCCAGUGUGUGACAGCUCAAAUGGUUCACACAACACCAAAUACACUUGGAAUAACUUGAGAGAAACUUGAACACUCCUUGAAAUCGUCUUGCCCUCACACUCACACAUAGUGCACGAUUUCUUGAACCAUAGGAUUCUUUUAUAUGGUGGUUAUUAGGGUUACACCAUGUAACUCAUGACUUUACCCAUUCCUUAAGCUCCAUGGUUUUUAACCUCCAUGGAGUAUCCAUGGGUCAUCCCAUGGACUUAGUCCAACACAAGGAAUCUUGGAUCACAAGCCCACAUAUAUAAUAAUGAAUGAUUUACACAAUCAACCCAUAUAUUUAAUUAGUCUCCUUUUGAUCACUUAAUUAAUUCCAAAUUAAUUCUUGAUCAAUACCAAUUAAAUAACCUUAUUAAUAUAUUAGAACUUAUAAUAUAUUAACAAACCUUAAGUGUUAUUUCUCUCAUUUUAGUCUAUCCAAAUGCAUGAUGCCAUGCAACCCAAAUGGACCAUGUCGGGUCGGGUCAAGUCUUACCAAUUAUAGUUAUGGACUUAGACAUUAAUCCAACAGUCUCCCACUUGGAUAAGUCUAAAACUAUUAUUGCUUAUGACUUCAAGAACCGACUGGCAAUCGUAGCUCUCAAAAGCUUCUGUCGAACUCUGACCUUUUAGAUGAACUCUGACCUUUGUCAAUGACUUGUCCAUUAGAUAAGGGAUCAUAUAUUCCUCCAUUCUAGAUAUCAUAUGGACUGAGACAUGGAUUAUAAUCAUUCUCUCUGUCCAUUUGUUGUUUCUUGGUUUUUGAUUUAUGAUGACUGACUAAUUGAACUAAUCGAAUCAGUCCUGGCCCGACCGAGCACUUACAUUUUUCAUCACCAAAUCAUCGAGGGGCCCACAAAUAUCGCUUUUAUCCCGAAGGUAAAAGGAAUGGAUAAACUUCGACUCAUAUGGCUUGUUCUACUACUUGUUGAAUCAUACACAAAGGCACGUUUUAUAGCACCGAGUUACCAAAUGCGUUUUCGUGCAAUCAAUGUACUAUCAACUCAUAGUAACAACUCAUAUCUCUAGGUUUGAAGAAUAUAAGAUAUUAUCGUCUCAUGAUCACUCGUGAUAAAAUCCAUGAAGUGAUUCCAAUGAGCGCGGGUUGAAUCCAAUACUCAGAACUUAUGAGCACUCAUGAGUGUUGUAGCCCUUUGUCCAACAUCUUAUACCUCUACAAGCCAACCCAUGAAAGUCUUAAUUUAUAUCUACUUCUAACAUAUGAUUGACUGUGGAUGGUUUGAAUAACUUACUCAUCCAGAACAAUGACCUAGUUAUAUUCGGGAAGUCAAAACAUGCAAAGUGAAACACAAUAAUAAUUGAAUCCAAUAUGGUAUCAAACCUUUGAACAUAAAUAAAACACCUUUUAUUUAUCACCAUAUGAUUACACAUUAUUCAUUGUAUACUGUUUCAGCUAUCAACUUUAUUCUUGAAUUUAAAACAAUAGUUGUCCCAUGCUCCAAGCAUGUACACUAUGUUUUCUAAACACUAGUCAUGCCACACACCAAGUAUGCAUACUAUGUUUGUCUAUGAUCUUUACUUUGUGAACUAGAUCAAUUGAACAUAACUUCAAUGAUUCUCUUUUCACAGUCCCAAAUCCUUACUGCAAAUGCAAGAAUUCCAAAUUCAUGCCAUUUACUGAAAUCUGUUAGAUUCUAAACUUAUAUGCAUUGAUCCUCUUGUAAUGAUUAUGCACAAAGUCACAAAGACUUGGCAACAAUCAUUACAGAGUAUUCCAAAGGAGAUCAACUCCUUGGAAAUAUCCUUCUUGCAUUAAGUUUCCUUAAUCUUACACAGAUUGAAAAUUCUAACUUUGAAACAUUUCCAGAUUCCAUUUUGACUAUCACUUCUGAACAAGAGUUGCCUCCUUACAGAUUAUGUCAAUAUGGUCCUUCUAGAAUUAUCACUAUACUUCCAACUGUCCUUGAGCAACCAAUCUUUGGUAAACCUUAGAUUGUCCUCGACAAUUGUUUAAUCCUUUUAGUCAUAUCCAAUUCUAGACCUUUUCCCUUCUUAAUGCCCCAGGCAUUUGGAAAAUUUUAGAAAGGAUGAAUAUAGCACAUGUAAUCGAUCCUAUAUCUGAAGCAUAUGGGACACGAUUCAUGAUGUCUCACAUAAAGACUAAACUAGUCUUUUUCUAUAAUAUUUCCAUUUCAAUUUGCCAAGUUCUCAUAAUUC
RNAcentral lists this long non-coding RNA (11750 nucleotides) under Lactuca sativa (garden lettuce). RNAcentral describes it as "long non-coding RNA (LSAT_LNC009617)". The record is from RNAcentral. Lineage: Eukaryota; Viridiplantae; Streptophyta; Magnoliopsida; Asterales; Asteraceae.